Dipodomys ordii (Ord's kangaroo rat) is the source of this 320-nucleotide unclassified non-coding RNA. Its record names the gene 7SK. It matches the Rfam family "7SK RNA". Rfam says of the family: 7SK was discovered as an abundant small nuclear RNA in the mid-70s but a possible function has only recently been suggested. Two independent studies have found that 7SK RNA binds the CDK9/cyclin T complex (known as elongation factor P-TEFb). The record is from Ensembl. NCBI's taxonomy places the organism in Eukaryota, Metazoa, Chordata, Mammalia, Rodentia, Heteromyidae.
GGAUGUGAGGGCGAUCUGGCUGCGACAUCUGUCACCCCAUUGAUCGCCAGGGUUGAUUCGGCUGAUCUGGCUGGGUAGGCGGGUGUCCCCUUCCUCCCUCACCGCUCCAUGUGCGUCCCUCCCGAAGCUGCCCGCUCGGUGGAAGAGGACGACCAUCCCUGAUAGAGGAGGACCGGUCUUCGGUCAAGGGUAUAGGAGUAGCUGCGCUCCCCUGCUAGAACCUCCAAACAAGCUCUCAAGAGUCUCACUGAUUUUCCUGCCUGGGCUGGCUUUGAGCCAUGAUCCUCAGAGCUCAGCAUCCUGAGUAGCUAGGAUUACAG